UCUAAUGGGACUGCCGGUGACAAGCCGGAGGAAGGUGGGGAUGACGUCAAGUCCUCAUGGCCCUUAUAGGUGGGGCUACACACGUCAUACAAUGGCCGGUACAAAGGGCAGCCAACCCGCGAGGGGGAGCCAAUCCCAUAAAGCCGGUCGUAGUCCGGAUCGCAGUCUGCAACUCGACUGCGUGAUGUCGGAAUCGCUAGUAAUCGUGGAUCAGCAUGUCACGGUGAAUACGUUCCCGGGUCUUGUACACACCGCCCGUCACACCAUGGGAGCGGGUCUCGCCAGAAGUAGUUAGCCUAACCGCAAGGAGGGCGAUUACCACGGCGGGGUUCGUGACUGGGGUGAA
This 346-nucleotide ribosomal RNA is filed under the name uncultured bacterium. RNAcentral's name for it is "bacterial SSU rRNA". It matches the Rfam family "Bacterial small subunit ribosomal RNA", at positions 1139 to 1484 of the family's 1533-position model. The record is from RNAcentral.